Molecule: ribosomal RNA, 119 nt
Filed under: Pteropus alecto (black flying fox)
Lineage: Eukaryota; Metazoa; Chordata; Mammalia; Chiroptera; Pteropodidae
Source: RNAcentral
GUCUAUGGCCACGUCACCCUGAACAAGCCUGAUCUCCUCUGAUCUCAGAAGCUAAGCAGGGUUGGGCCUGCUUAGUACUUGGAUGGGAGACCACCUAGGAAGACCAGAUGCUGUAGGCA